GUGGGGAAUAUUGGACAAUGGGCGAAAGCCUGAUCCAGCCAUGCCGCGUGUGUGAAGAAGGUCUUCGGAUUGUAAAGCACUUUAAGUUGGGAGGAAGGGCAGUAAGUUAAUACCUUGCUGUUUUGACGUUACCGACAGAAUAAGCACCGGCUAACUUCGUGCCAGCAGCCGCGGUAAUACGAAGGGUGCAAGCGUUAAUCGGAAUUACUGGGCGUAAAGCGCGCGUAGGUGGUUUUGUAAGUUGGAGGUGAAAUCCCCGGGCUCAACCUGGGAACUGCCUCCAAAACUGCAUGACUAGAGUACGGUAGAGGGUAGUGGAAUUUCCUGUGUAGCGGUGAAAUGCGUAGAUAUAGGAAGGAACACCAGUGGCGAAGGCAACUACCUGGACUGAUACUGACACUGAGGUGCGAAAGCGUGGGGAGCAAACAGGAUUAGAAACCCUGGUAGUCC
Molecule: ribosomal RNA, 450 nt
Filed under: uncultured bacterium
Lineage: Bacteria
Description: partial 16S ribosomal RNA
Rfam family: Bacterial small subunit ribosomal RNA
Source: RNAcentral